GACGAACGCUUGCGGCGUGCUUAACACAUGCAAGUCGAACGGAAAGGCCUUUUUCGGGGGGUACUCGUGUGGCGAACGGGUGUGUAACACGUGAGUAACCUGCCCUUGACUUUGAGAUAACUUCAUGUAACUGGGGCUAAUACCGGAUAGGAGCUUCGGCUGCAUUGAGGGUUUUUUAAAGUUUUGGCGGUCGUGGAUGGACUCGCGGCUUAUCAGCUUGUUGGUGGGGUAGUGGCUUACCAAGGCUUUGACGGAGAGCAGGCCUGCGAGGGUGAGCAGAGACAUUGAGACGAAGAUUCGGCGCAGACUCCUAGAGGAGGCAGCAGUGGGGAAUAUUGCACAAAACGAGCAAGCCUGACGCAACAACGCCGUGUGGAGGAUGAGGACCUUCGGAUUGUAAUCCGCUUUCGCUUCUGACGAAGCUUUGUGUGACGGUAGUAGGUAAAGAAGCAUAGGCUAACUACGUG
This 467-nucleotide ribosomal RNA is filed under the name uncultured bacterium. RNAcentral describes it as "partial 16S ribosomal RNA". It matches the Rfam family "Bacterial small subunit ribosomal RNA", at positions 28 to 507 of the family's 1533-position model. The record is from RNAcentral.